This 229-nucleotide ribosomal RNA is filed under the name uncultured bacterium. RNAcentral describes it as "partial 16S ribosomal RNA". It matches the Rfam family "Bacterial small subunit ribosomal RNA", at positions 109 to 334 of the family's 1533-position model. The record is from RNAcentral.
CGGAACACGUACGCAACCUUCCUUUAACUGGAGAAUAGCCCCUCGAAAGAGGGAUUAAUACUCCGUAAUAUAAUGAAGUGGCAUCACUUUAUUAUUAUAGGCAGCAAUGUCGGUUUUGGAUGGGCGUGCGCCUGAUUAGGUAGUUGGCGGGGUAACGGCCCACCAAGCCUGCGAUCAGUAACUGGUGUGAGAGCACGACCAGUCACACGGGCACUGAGACACGGGCCCG